This 548-nucleotide ribosomal RNA is filed under the name uncultured Glomus. RNAcentral describes it as "SSU rRNA". It matches the Rfam family "Eukaryotic small subunit ribosomal RNA", at positions 548 to 1098 of the family's 1831-position model. The record is from RNAcentral. Lineage: Eukaryota; Fungi; Glomeromycota; Glomeromycetes; Glomerales; Glomeraceae.
UUGGAGGGCAAGUCUGGUGCCAGCAGCCGCGGUAAUUCCAGCUCCAAUAGCGUAUAUUAAAGUUGUUGCAGUUAAAAAGCUCGUAGUUGAAUUUCGGGAUCAAUACGUCGGUCGUGCUUCGGUACGUACUGGCGUAAUUGAUUUCUCCCUUCUGACGAACCAUGAUGUCAUUAACUUGGUGUCAUGGGAAAUCAGGACUGUUACUUUGAAAAAAUUAGAGUGUUUAAAGCAGGCUCACGCUUGAAUACAUUAGCAUGGAAUAAUGAAAUAGGACGUUCGAUCCUAUUUUGUUGGUUUUUAGGAUCAACGUAAUGAUUAAUAGGGAUAGUUGGGGGCAUUAGUAUUCAAUUGUCAGAGGUGAAAUUCUUGGAUUUAUUGAAGACUAACUACUGCGAAAGCAUUUGCCAAGGAUGUCUUCAUUAAUCAAGAACGAAAGUUAGGGGAUCGAAGACGAUCAGAUACCGUCGUAGUCUUAACCAUAAACUAUGCCGACUAGGGAUCGGAUGAUGUUAAUUUUUUAAUGACUCAUUCGGCGCCUUACGGGAAAC